Long non-coding RNA from Bacillus rossius redtenbacheri, 5369 nucleotides. RefSeq lists it as uncharacterized. Lineage: Eukaryota; Metazoa; Arthropoda; Insecta; Phasmatodea; Bacillidae. The record is from RefSeq and is a predicted model, not a curated record. The transcript is spliced from 3 exons.
CAGGGUUGUUGAAAUCAAAUUUAGGGACUUUACUGACGGGACUCUGGGCUGGCUGCUCUGUUCACUCGUCAGCGCAAGUGGCGUGACCAUGUAAUUGGGGCACGGGGCCGGCGCGGCGCGCUGCGGGCUUGCAGAAUUUUGUUUGUUUGUUUGGCCGCGCGUUGGCGCAGCCACGGGCCGCAGUUACUGGGGCGCGCUGUCGUAACAAGCCGCGCGGUGUGGCCUGCACAUUGGGUUAGAGGGGGGGUAGUCUUCCCAGAUGUUCUAGUUAGUUGUUUAGUAAAUUUGACUUCAAUAACGAGCUUUUGUUAUGGUAGGCGCGGCAGGGCGCGCGAAUUUAAGCGCAAGUGAGUGGUGAAUCGGGGCUCACUCAGGCGGAGGCUAUGCGUCUCACCUGUGGUCACGAGUUGUUAGUUCGUUCGUGAUGUAGGAAUUCAGGCUCACUCAGGCGGAGGCUAUGCGUCUCACCUGUGGUCACGAGUUGUUAGUUCGUUCGUGAUGUAGGAAUUCAAGCUUUCGGGCGGAAGCUAUGGUCGACGCCAGAGGCCACGAGUCGUUUAAUUUAAGUUAGGUCAUAAUGUAGUCGUCAAGCUUUCGGGCGGAGGCUAUGGCCCUCGUCAGGGGUCACGCGUCAUAGUUUUUAAAAUGUAAUGUUCGUUCGGGAUUUCAAGGGCAGGAGAGGCCCCUACGUUAUUUUUUUAAAGUAAUCGAUCAAGAAAGGCUUUUCGGAAAAUGUGAGUAUGGACUUAUCUUUGUUUUAAUUUUAAGUAUUAAUUAUGAUUUGAGGUAUUCGGAAGGACUAGGGAAGUGUUUAGUGAAGUUCUCUCAUUCUCUCUCUUGUAAGGUCGUUCAAUCGUUAAGGAAGUAAAGAGAUUAUUGUUUUAAAUUGUAAUCCCGCUAUUUAAAUGUUCUUUAAAAUGAUGUUGAGUAUUUGACUUUAAGAAUAAAAUAAUUUUAAUUAAGUAUUAUGUUAUUUUGCAAAAUCUCCUUAGUUCAGCUCUCACCAGACAUCCUGUACGGGAUGACGAACCUAUGAUCCUAGGUACAGUAAAGUAUUUUAUGAAGUUAAGACUAGUUGAUGCCAAGCGAGUUGUUUCUAUGUAAAGAGCUACGAUUCUCGCCCCCCCCCCCCUCUGAAGGUGGAUCGUGACAGAAAUGGCGGUGGCACCGGCUAGGUGCACGUGACAGAAAUGGUAGAGUUCGCCGGAUAGGUUCUAUUUCUGGAGAGAGAGAGAGGUAGAUUUUUAUGUUUAUUAUUAAGUUAGUUUCAGCUUCUGAUAGCAGGUUAUUAAGAGUUUACUUGAGGAGAGGAUUACGGAAUUUUAGUCUAUAGUGGAGGAAGUCUUUGAGAUUUUUUUUUUGACGUAACAGAUGUUUAUUUGAGGAUACUUGUAAGGAUAAAGUUAAUAGUGAUAAGUUGUUUUAAGUCGUUGAAUUUAUUGUAGAUUUAUAUCGGGGAUUAUUACGUGAGGAGAAUACGUUAUAAGUUAAAUGCUUAUUAGAGAUAAUGCAAGUGGUUUAAUUUAAUUGAAGUUCAUUUUAAGAUUGUAGGUUAAGAGAAUUAUAAUUUAAAAUAAAAAUUUUUUGUCGUAAAUAGGAAUUAUUUUCAAGUGAAGUUUGUUUUGUUGUCGUGCGCGUAGGAGACGAGACGUACGAAUUAAAUCAGUCGAGGGAAGGAUAAACGUUAGAAAGGAAUUAAAGAGAAAACGAGAGUUUAUGUAAAAGAGAGUUAUAGAAUUUAUAGUGAUGUUUUGUUUUAAUUAGAAAAAUGUUGAGAGUUGUUUCAGAACGACACGUCAGUGGACGUGGCAGAGUGAACACGUGACGGGGAGGUGCUGAGACCUAGCGGAGAACGGAGGAACCGCAAGCGAGGGUUGGCGCACCUGAUGGAAUUCGGUGACGUCACGGGCUCAUACGGAGACGUGGACAGGCCGUGACCUUGUUUUGAUCAGCUGUACGGUAACUUAGCGAUAAGAAAAUAGACUAUUGGUUAAAUAAAUUUAAAUUUAAGUGUGUUUUAGGAGAAGAGGAACUUUCAGUAUAUUCCUUAAGAUGAGCUGAGCAGCAGUCCAGUUUACAAGAUGACAAGAGUUCGAGAGACAAGAUACAAGGUCACUGAAACAAGAGCCAAGACUGAAGAUUCAAGAGAAGAGAAAGCUGGCAGCCAUGGACUUACAAGUGGAGAUUAAUAAGGUCAUGUAAAGUUUUAUUUUUUUUUAUGGAAGACAGUAACUGGAGUUUUUUUUUUGUUAUAAACAUUAUUUACAGAACUUUUUAGGUUAUAGUAAUGUAAUGGAACUAGUGAGUUGUGGUAGCUGUCAAAAAGAACUAAUACCUUAAGUUUAAUUUUUAAAGUUAAUUUUCUUAAUUUACAGAGGGAUUAGUAGUUUUUUUUAAACCUUAUUUAGGUUGGAAUUUAAAUACAAUAGCUUAUUAUAAAUAUGUACGAACAGUUCAAGUUCACAGUACUGAUAGGUAGGUCAGAUGAUCUUAUUGAUUUUGAUGAUUUGUUGUUUUGAGUUGAUUUUUAAGUGUUGUGAAUUAGACAAUGAAAUAGUUCUGAAAACUUAAAUUAUUUCAAGCUAAGAAAUAGUAAAGUUAAUUGUAACUCAAAGGACACCAGAAUUUAAUUUUUUUUUGAAUUAGUAAUGUUUGAAAAUUUUAUACUUUACAAGAAAGGUUAUAAACAAACAGAUCGGAUGGAACAAGGAUGCAGUAAAUCACAAUUUCAUUUAGAAUUAUUGAUUAGCUUUUGAGGUUAUGAAGUAAAAGUAAUUAUAGUUUAAAAGUUUGAAUAAAAAAAAAUGUUUUUUUUUUAUUUGUUUGAAAUAGAAAGUUUAAAAGUUAAUUAGUCAUGAUCUAGGUGGGUGAUGGGGUGGGAAUUGGCCACUCUUUUUCCCUAUAACCUCCCUAACAUGGCCUUCUAUUACAACUAACAGAAAUAAAGAAGAAGAAAAAUGAAGAAUUAUUAGUUAGAAUGUUUCUUUCAUGAAGAUACCUGAUGAACUUUUACUGUUUGGAAGAAUAGAAGCAAGGUUAGUCAGAUAUUUUUACUCAGAAGAAGAAGAAGAUAAAGCAGUUUUAUGACUCGACAAGCCAGAGAUUGGUGUUUCCCCUCUGCGCUUCUAUUGACUACGUUGUUUACUCUCAUGGGAUAGCUGGUUCGGCACCAUGGAGAGAGAUUGGUGGGCAUUGUGGUUGCCCCCAGAAGAAAAGAAGAGUAGAAGAGGUUAUGGGUGGGUCAUGUGAACUGACCUUCAACCCAGUUACUUCGUGGGGACUAUUUGCUGUAUAGAGAAGAUCAAGACUCAAGAGUUAGGGAAAAUCAUUGGAGGUCAUGUUUCCCUUCCUUAAGUUUUUCCUAUCAAAUUAUUUGCCUGAUUAGAUUAUGCUAAGGGUGGGAUACUUUAUGUUAGCAGUUGAAUUAAUUAAUUUUAUUUUUUUGUGUGUUUGCAUCCUUGCCCAUCGAUUGCAGUUUAGUAGUUAGUUUUGUAUUUGUCAGGCGUGAUGGUAAUGCCUGUUGAUGAUGUUUCAGAAUUGUAAUCUGUUCGUGAUGAGGAUGGCACAACUCCGAAGCAGAUGUGGGGAGAAGUUGUGAGCUGCCCUGGAAGCCAGUCCAGUAGCUGUUGGAGUUGAGUGGUGUUUGCUGAUGGCCAGCCCAGGGAGCUACUCUUCUCGACAACACUGACUUCGAGGAGUUGCACCAACCUUCACGAGAUAAGAGUUUAAUUAAUUGAAACACUGUAAGGACACUUAAUUUUUUUUGAAGAACGAAAGAAGUAUGGUAAUAAACGGAAACCGAAAAAAAAAAAAAAAUAAUAAUUAUCAAGAAUUUGCACAUUGUUUAACGAAUAAUGAGAAACUAAGAACAGUAAUUUAAUUUGUAAAGAGAGCUUCACUAACAGAACAAUUUUUUUAGAAUUAAGAACUCGAGCCUCUGAAGGUUCCUGUGAGAACAAACCAGAUAAAAGUUUUACAUUUAAUUUUAUGAAUACUUGUUGUUUUAAAAUAAAUCUUAUGCAGAAUCUAGAUGUAUGUUCAGACAGCAAGGAACUAAGAAAAUUAUUAUUUUUGUGAAAUGAGGAAUUUAUAGUUAUGGUUUAAUGGAAAAAGACAAUUUGUAAUUUUGAAGUAGCUCGAUGGGGCUCGAGCUCUGUGAGGGGAGGGUUAUGUCGCGGGUUGAAAUUUUGCAGGGUUGUUGAAAUCAAAUUUAGGGACUUUACUGACGGGACUCUGGGCUGGCUGCUCUGUUCACUCGUCAGCGCAAGUGGCGUGACCAUGUAAUUGGGGCACAGGGCCGGCGCGGCGCGCUGCGGGCUUGCAGAAUUUUGUUUGUUUGUUUGGCCGCGCGCUGGCGCAGCCACGGGCCGCAGUUACUGGGGCGCGCUGUCGUAACAAGCCGCGCGGUGUGGCCUGCACAUUGGGGUAGAGGGGGGGUAGUCUUCCCAGAUGUUCUAGUUAGUUGUUUAGUAAAUUUGACUUCAAUAACGAGCUUUUGUUAUGGUAGGCGCGGCAGGGCGCGCGAAUUUAAGCGCAAGUGAGUGGUGAAUCGGGGCUCACUCAGGCGGAGGCUAUGCGUCUCACCUGUGGUCACGAGUUGUUAGUUCGUUCGUGAUGUAGGAAUUCAGGCUCACUCAGGCGGAGGCUAUGCGUCUCACCUGUGGUCACGAGUUGUUAGUUCGUUCGUGAUGUAGGAAUUCAAGCUUUCGGGCGGAAGCUAUGGUCGACGCCAGAGGCCACGAGUCGUUUAAUUUAAGUUAGGUCAUAAUGUAGUCGUCAAGCUUUCGGGCGGAGGCUAUGGCCCUCGUCAGGGGUCACGCGUCAUAGUUUUUAAAAUGUAAUGUUCGUUCGGGAUUUCAAGGGCAGGAGAGGCCCCUACGUUAUUUUUUUAAAGUAAUCGAUCAAGAAAGGCUUUUCGGAAAAUGUGAGUAUGGACUUAUCUUUGUUUUAAUUUUAAGUAUUAAUUAUGAUUUGAGGUAUUCGGAAGGACUAGGGAAGUGUUUAGUGAAGUUCUCUCAUUCUCUCUCUUGUAAGGUCGUUCAAUCGUUAAGGAAGUAAAGAGAUUAUUGUUUUAAAUUGUAAUCCCGCUAUUUAAAUGUUCUUUAAAAUGAUGUUGAGUAUUUGACUUUAAGAAUAAAAUAAUUUUAAUUAAGUAUUAUGUUAUUUUGCAAAAUCUCCUUAGUUCAGCUCUCACCAGACAUCCUGUACGGGAUGACGAACCUAUGAUCCUAGGUACAGUAAAGUAUUUUAUGAAGUUAAGACUAGUUGAUGCCAAGCGAGUUGUUUCUAUGUAAAGAGCUACGAUUCUCGCCCCCCCCCCUCUGAAGGUGGAUCGUGACAGAAAUGGCGGUGGCACCGGCUAGGUGCAC